GGACUACACGGGUUUCUAAUCCUGUUUGCUCCCCUUGCUCUCGCGCCUCAGCGUCAGGUUUUAACUAGAGAACCGCUUUCGCCACUGGUGUUCUUCCACAUAUCUACGCAUUUCACCGCUACACGUGGAAUUCCAUUCCCUCCGUCAAUCCUCGAGAUCUAUAGUUUCAUAUGCAGCUCUGAAGUUGAGCUUCAGAAUUUCACAUCUGACUUAUAUUCCCGCCUACGCGCCCUUUACGCCCAAUAAUUCCGAUUAAUGCUUGCACUCUCCGUAUUACCGCGGCUGCUGGCAC
This 292-nucleotide ribosomal RNA is filed under the name uncultured bacterium. Its description in RNAcentral is "partial 16S ribosomal RNA". The record is from RNAcentral.